UGAACCUUAUAAUUUUAAAUUGCCCUAUACAUAAUUCUGUUUUCUCAUCUUUAGUAGUAAUGACCUAUUCUCGUGGUCCAAAAACAGAAAAAAUCUGAUUUUAUUUACUGUAUAUGCAUAGAAAAUAUGGGUGCAUACAAUAUAUCAAGUCAAUUGGAUCACGGGAAGUGAGUGGAAAUUCGAUCGUAAGAUUACACCCUCCGAUAUAUAAAGCACGGUGAAUAACAAUAAUUAAUAGGUACAAAUGUAAGAGAAAAACAUAGUUGACCUGAUAAUAAUAAUACAUAUGAUAAUAUAAUUAAAAAUAAUUAUUAAAUAAUUAAUAACAGAUUAUUAAACAACUAAUAUGGUAAUAUAGCAUAGGAAAGUACCAUAAGAGUUUAAUAUUAUAGAGAGAGAGAACUGCGAGAGACUAAGAAUUUCUAUCAAAAGUAGUUACCUACUCUUCGAUCAAUAUAACUUGUGGAAUAAAAAUAUACGGGAGUAAGAUUUGCCCGUUUGGCGUGGAAAACCUUAUUCCCUUGAAUAUUUUACUGCGGUAAUAAGAAUACAAGAGACGAGGAAUUGCCUGUUAAACCGGCUCUUUCUAUCUUUCAAACAAUGGUUCGCUAUCCAUUGCUUUGCCGGGUUUACGAGCAUGGUCUAUCCACACUAUAUGGUGAAAAGUUUCAA
Molecule: non-coding RNA, 672 nt
Organism: Cinara cedri
Lineage: Eukaryota; Metazoa; Arthropoda; Insecta; Hemiptera; Aphididae
Source: the annotation of a GenBank genome assembly